GACGAACGCUGGCGGCGUGCUUAACACAUGCAAGUCGGGGGGCACUAUUGGGGCAACCUGGUAGUGACCGGCGAACGGGUGCGUAACACGUGAGCGACCUUGCCUCGUGGUGGGGGAUAGCCGGCCCAACGGCCGGGUAAUACCGCAUAUGGUAGUUUCUUCGCAUGAGGAGACUAGCAAAGCCUUGGAGCAAUCCAAUGGCGCCACAGGGGGGGC
Molecule: ribosomal RNA, 216 nt
Filed under: uncultured bacterium
Lineage: Bacteria
Description: partial 16S ribosomal RNA
Rfam family: Bacterial small subunit ribosomal RNA
Source: RNAcentral